RNAcentral lists this transfer RNA (50 nucleotides) under Ectropothecium borneense. RNAcentral describes it as "partial tRNA-His". Lineage: Eukaryota; Viridiplantae; Streptophyta; Bryopsida; Hypnales; Pylaisiaceae. The record is from RNAcentral.
AUUAAUUAGAAAAAAAAAAAGGCGGACGUGGCCAAGUGGAUUAAGGCAGU